This 464-nucleotide ribosomal RNA is filed under the name uncultured bacterium. RNAcentral's name for it is "bacterial SSU rRNA". It matches the Rfam family "Bacterial small subunit ribosomal RNA", at positions 77 to 562 of the family's 1533-position model. The record is from RNAcentral.
AGCUUGCUAAGGGGAUUAGUGGCGCACGGGUGAGUAAUAUAUAGAUAACGUGCCUCUUAGUCUGGGAUAGCCAUUGGAAACGAUGAUUAAUACUAGAUACUCCUUCUCUUUAUAAUUAGAGUCGGGAAAGUUUUUCGCUAAGAGAUCGGUCUAUAUCCCAUCAGUUAGUUGGUAGGGUAAUGGCCUACCAAGGCAAUGACGGGUAGCGGGUUUGAGAGGAUGAUCCGCCACACUGGUACUGAGACACGGACCAGACUCCUACGGGAGGCAGCAGUGAGGAAUAUUGCACAAUGGAGGAAACUCUGAUGCAGCAACGCCGCGUGGAGGAUGACGCAUUUCGGUGUGUAAACUCCUUUUAUAAGGGAAGAAAAUGACGGUACCUUAUGAAUAAGCACCGGCUAACUCCGUGCCAGCAGCCGCGGUAAUACGGAGGGUGCAAGCGUUACUCGGAAUCACUGGCCGUC